UAGGGAAUUUUGCGCAAUGGGGGAAACCCUGACGCAGCAACGCCGCGUGAUUGACGAAGCCCUUCGGGGUGUAAAGAUCUGUCAGUGGGGACGAAUUUUGACGGUACCCACAAAGGAAGCACCGGCUAACUCCGUGCCAGCAGCCGCGGUAAUACGGAGGGUGCAAGCGUUGUCCGGAAUCAUUGGGCGUAAAGCGUUCGUAGGCGGCAUACCAAGUCUGGGGUUAAAUCCCGGGGCUCAACUCCGGUCCGGCACUGGAUACUGGUAAGCUAGAAUGUGGUAGAGGUAAAGGGAAUUCCUGGUGUAGCGGUGAACUGCGUAGAUAUCAGGAGGAACACCGGUGGCGUAAGCGCUUUACUGGGCCAUAAUUGACGCUGAGGAACGAAAGCCGGGGGAGCAAAUG
RNAcentral lists this ribosomal RNA (403 nucleotides) under uncultured prokaryote. Its description in RNAcentral is "bacterial SSU rRNA". It matches the Rfam family "Bacterial small subunit ribosomal RNA", at positions 355 to 774 of the family's 1533-position model. The record is from RNAcentral.